This 253-nucleotide ribosomal RNA is filed under the name uncultured bacterium. RNAcentral describes it as "partial 16S ribosomal RNA". It matches the Rfam family "Bacterial small subunit ribosomal RNA", at positions 524 to 776 of the family's 1533-position model. The record is from RNAcentral.
UACGGAGGAUGCAAGCGUUAUCCGGAAUUAUUGGGCGUAAAGGGUCCGCAGGUGGCCAUGUGUGUCUGCUGUCAAAGAACGAGGCUUAACCUCAUCAAGGCAGUGGAAACUACAUAGCUAGAGUACGGUCGGGGUAGAAGGAAUUCCUGGUGUAGCGGUGAAAUGCGUAGAGAUCAGGAAGAACACCGGUGGCGAAAGCGUUCUGCUAGACCUGUACUGACACUGAGGGACGAAAGCUAGGGGAGCGAAUGGG